This 89-nucleotide transfer RNA is filed under the name Rhodothermaceae bacterium. It matches the Rfam family "tRNA". Rfam says of the family: Transfer RNA (tRNA) molecules are approximately 80 nucleotides in length. The record is from Rfam by way of RNAcentral. Lineage: Bacteria; Pseudomonadati; Rhodothermota; Rhodothermia; Rhodothermales; Rhodothermaceae. RNAcentral also lists the same sequence under 3 other names.
GGAGAGAUGGCUGAGUGGUCGAAAGCGGCACCCUGCUAAGGUGUUGUAUCGUUUACGCGGUACCGUGGGUUCGAAUCCCACUCUCUCCG